UUUAAAACGUUGAAGAGGAUAAGUAGUUUUGAUGUUUAGGUAUCAACAGAGAGUCGGGUUGCUGGAAGCCGACGUUACCAACUCAAAAUGAACUCACCUCAGAGUGUCACCCUGAAAUUCAGUAAGGGCGACCGAGUGUACUUCCAAAGCACUCGUUAUCAAAAAGAAUGUACAGUAUACAUUCAUAAGGUAAUCAUUACGAUUACAAACGAGGGUGGUACCGCGUAAAGUACAAAAGACUUUUCGCCCCUUGA
Molecule: non-coding RNA, 254 nt
Filed under: Priestia megaterium
Lineage: Bacteria; Bacillati; Bacillota; Bacilli; Caryophanales; Bacillaceae
Description: Bacillus megaterium T-box sequence
Rfam family: T-box leader
About the family: Uncharged tRNA acts as the effector for transcription antitermination of genes in the T-box leader family.
Source: RNAcentral